UUGGUCCUGUUGCUUUGAGCAUGCAAUGAGGCAGCAUAUAAUGGUGGGGAGCACAUGAUGGAACAAUCUGCUUACUGCAAGGUGGCCUGGAAGUGAAAAAAAAAGAGACCGGAAGGUGCCAAUGUUUCAAUAUUCCCUUCAAGGGCAUGCCCCUGAUCACCUAACCUUCCUCCUCUAGUCCCUACCUCUCAAAGGUUCUACCAUUUCGCAGUAGCACCAUGGGAUAGGGACCAAGCCUUUAACAUGUGGGCCUUUGGUGAAAAAACUAUAGCCUCCCCCAAGACAAAGAGGCACAGAAGACUCUGAACAACAGACCUUGCUAAGUUUCCCCAUCUCAUUCCAUUAGAUCAUACCUUUUGCCCUACUAUAUUUCUCCAUGACCAUCCACUCUUCAUCAAACCUAGUGUAAGAAAUAUUCCAGAGUAACUAUUCCUUUAGGCCUUCAUUUCCUUACAGAUGUUCUCAUGACACAUAAAACUUAAAGCCAACCAAUUUGCACGCUUCUCUUGUUAACCUGCGUUUUGUGACAAGGGUGCAGCCAAUGGGUGAAGGAAAAGGUAUUAAAAACUGAUCUUAUAAUUUCUGCAAGAAAGGCCACAAGUCUUCGAGGCCAAAGGUAGAAGGGUGAGGAAAGUUCUCACGCAUUUUCCUUAGAGACAGAAAAUUUUUCUUGGUUUCUCAAAGAGGAUUCCUUCUCAUUUGAAACCAGUUCUCUUAGAGACCACACCCUCUUCAACUCUAAUAACUACUUAUUCUUGAGGGGAGGGUACCUGGGAUUGAACUCAGGAGCACUCCACCACUGAGCCACAUACCCAGACCAAUUUUGCAUUUUAUUUAGAGACAGGGUCUCACCGAGUUGCUUAGCACCUUGCUUUUUGCUGAGGCUAGCUUUAAGCUCAGCAUCCUCCUGCCCCAGCCUCCCGAGCCUCUGAGAUUACAGGUUUAUGCCACUGUGCCUGGCUAUAAUAGCUAUUUUAAUCAGUGGAAUUUAAGUGGAUAAGUCUAUUAGUUUUGCAGAGCUGCCAAAACACCCACACAGAAUGGGAGGCUCGAACAACAGUUUAUUGUUUCAGAGUUCUAGAGGCCAGAAGUCCAAGACAAGGCGUCAGCAGGGCUAGUUCCUGGUGAGGCUUAUUGAUGGCUGCCCUCUCACUGUGUCUAAACUAUUUUGAUUAUUCAUCUUUAUUAUAAUUUUGAGUAUUCAUCUUUAUCAUAUUUUUUUCCAGCAAAUACACCCCUGAUGUAUUAUUCAUUUAUAAAUUAUAUAUAAAUAUGCCUAUAUAUAUACAUACAUCUACAUAUGCUACAGUUGGACUAUAUUAUAAAAUAACAAAAUAUUCAAAAAUAAGUAAGACAUAAGUAAAAACAUAAAUUUAACUUAAAAAUAAACAAUUGGAAAAUAUAAUACUCUUCAUACUGGAAACCACUGUUCUAGAGGGUGACUGGUUAGCAUAUGGUGGGGGAAAAAAACUUCAAUUUGGAGACACCAAUUUAGAUCCAGAUUAUUCAUUUAUCCAUUGCAUGAUCUCCUCUGAAUUGUUGAGUUUCAGCACAAUAACAGACCCAGGAAUUCCUGGAUAGCUGCUCCAAUAGACUAAUAAUAUUCCUGCCUGAGAUUUUUGUCUAUUUCUACACCUAAUAUAUUUUGGUGAAUAUACAAUGAACACCGUGUCUUCCAGCAGCCCCAAGAGAAGGCGGCCAGGGGAAAAAGAAGAUGACUUAUAAAUUAACACUAGGAAGAGGGACGACUUGUGACUUUUAUUGUUUUGGUCCUGUUGAUUGAACCCAGGCCCUUGUGCACACUAGGCAAGUGCUCUAACAUUGGUCUCCAUCCCCAGCCCAUUUUACUUUAUUUUGAGAUAGGGUUUCAUUAAAUGGCUCCUGGCCUGCAAUUUGAGGUUCUUCUGCCUCAUCCCCCUGAGUAGCUGAGAUUAGAGAUCUGAGCCACCAAGCCCAGGCUGAUUUUUAUCUUUAAAGAGCCUUAUUUAGCAUUCAGAUCCAAACCUUGCC
Molecule: long non-coding RNA, 2010 nt
Filed under: Marmota monax (woodchuck)
Lineage: Eukaryota; Metazoa; Chordata; Mammalia; Rodentia; Sciuridae
Source: RNAcentral